This 668-nucleotide ribosomal RNA is filed under the name Stenotrophomonas geniculata. RNAcentral describes it as "[Pseudomonas] geniculata partial 16S ribosomal RNA". It matches the Rfam family "Bacterial small subunit ribosomal RNA", at positions 750 to 1405 of the family's 1533-position model. The record is from RNAcentral. Lineage: Bacteria; Pseudomonadati; Pseudomonadota; Gammaproteobacteria; Lysobacterales; Lysobacteraceae.
GGGGCGAAAAGCGUGGGGGGGCAAACACGGAAAAGAGACCCCGGGGGGGCCCCCCCCCUAAACCCAUAAAAAAUUGAAAUUUGGGGGGAGUUUGGGCCCCCCAGCAUUGAAAGCUAAAGCGUUAGGUUCACUGCCCCGGGGGGGGCGGGUUCGAGACUAAAAUUCAAAGGAAAUGAAGGGGGCCCGCACCCGCGCUGGGGUAUGUGGUUUUAUUUUAUGAAAAGCGAAGAACCUUACCUUGCCUUGACAUGUCCAGAUCUUUACAGAGAUGGAGUUGUGCCUUUGGGAACUCGAACACAGGAGCUGCGUUGCUGUAUUGAGCUCGUGUGUUGAGAUGUUGGGUUAAGUGCCGCAACGAGGGCAACCCCUCUCCUUUUUUCCCAGGACGUAAUGGUGGGAACUUUAAGGAGACCGCCGGUGACAAACCGGAGGAAGGUGGGGAUGAAGUCAAGUCAUCAUGGCCCUUAAGGCCAGGGCUACACACGUACUACAAUGGUAGGGACAAAGGGCUGCAAACCCGCGACGUUAAGCCAAUCCCAGAAACCUUAUUUCAGUUCGGAUUGGAGUUUGCAAAUUGACUCCAUGAAGUUGGAAUCGGUUGGAAUCGCAGGUCAGCAAUGCUGCGUGAAUACGUUCCCGGGCCUUGUACACACCGCCCGUCACACCAU